UUUAGCAUUGUUUUGUAUUUCUUACUAUAUAGAAUGUAUCUUUACCUCAUACUAAUUUUAUUCUUGCUGGUUUUACACCAAGGCCAGGGAAAGCAAAAUCAGUGUAGUGUUGGAUUUAUUUGGCAUACAAAGGCUAAGAAGUGCAUUUCACGAAGUUCGCCAGAGAAAAACUGUGGAAGCUCUGUUCAAUCAUCGGAUAAUAAGCAUAACAUUAACAGAAAGUUAAUUUGCCCACAAAGUUAUCGUUGGAUCAAAAAAUAUAAAAUAUGUGCAACAUCGACUACCAAUAAAAUUUAAAAGACGGGACUUAAAAAUUCUCAGAGGUGGCAAAACGAAAAAAAAACAAUGGACAAAGAAGAAAAAACAAUCACAAACACAAUAAAACGAUGAAGAAUAAUAAAAUAUAUGUUUCCUUUGGGAUAAAUCUACGAUAAAGCAAUAAUAAUAAUGAACAGAUGAUGGGAAAUCAAAUGGCACAACAAAAAAAAAACAAAGAAAUAUGUAUCCAUGAAACUAUUGAAUUAAAAAGCGCGGGAUAUCUUA
Molecule: long non-coding RNA, 543 nt
Organism: Drosophila willistoni
Lineage: Eukaryota; Metazoa; Arthropoda; Insecta; Diptera; Drosophilidae
Exons: 2
Source: RefSeq, a predicted model, not a curated record